UCCGAGUUGACCCCGGCAGUCUCCUAUGAGUCCCCGGCAUGACCCGCUGGCAACAUAGAGCGAAGGUUGCGCUCGUUGCGGGACUUAACCCAACAUCUCACGACACGAGCUGACGACAACCAUGCACCACCUGUAUACCGCCCUUGCGGACCCCAUAUCUCUAUGAGUUUUCGGUAUAUGUCAAGCCUUGGUAAGGUUCUUCGCGUUGCUUCGAAUUAAGCCACAUGCUCCGCCGCUUGUGCGGGCCCCCGUCAAUUCCUUUGAGUUUUAGCCUUGCGGCCGUAGUCCCCAGGCGGGGUGCUUAAUGCGUUAGCUGCGGCACGGAAGCAGUGGAUUAUCUCCCACACCUAGCACCCAUCGUUUACGGCGUGGACUAC
Molecule: unclassified non-coding RNA, 377 nt
Filed under: uncultured Actinomycetes bacterium
Lineage: Bacteria; Bacillati; Actinomycetota; Actinomycetes
Description: uncultured actinobacterium contains 16S-23S intergenic spacer region
Source: RNAcentral